Molecule: long non-coding RNA, 1798 nt
Organism: Falco peregrinus (peregrine falcon)
Lineage: Eukaryota; Metazoa; Chordata; Aves; Falconiformes; Falconidae
Exons: 4
Source: RefSeq, a predicted model, not a curated record
UCUGUAGGAGUUGAGCCCCAGUCAUCAGAAGUGGCAACUGGAUGGUAGUGCACCAUCAGCUUGUAAACAAGAAGAGCCUGUCAUUAAGCUGCAUUGCAUACUGUGGUUAAGCAGAGGAGAAAUUUUGCUACAACAGCUGGUGCAGCGGCGCACUUCAGAUACCUCCUCCUCCCAGUAUACUGCAACGCGCUGCCUCUUCUUCAGAUGCACGUCGUACCUGCCUCCUGACGUUGGGACAACCAGAUCUUCUUUGCCUCUCCCUGUGGGAACCAAGGCCUGAAAUUAAUUGUGAGAGGACCAGAAAACUAUGCUACUGGAAAGCUAUGUACCACGCCAGAGCAGAGGGAUGAGACUUGGAGCACCUUCUGCAGGCAGCACACACAAGCAUGUAUGAGCAAUGGCAGUAGACACCAAUGUUGUCCAUACCCGAGCAUGGAGAACCACGUCAAUGGGCAUCCUAGGAGAGAUGCCCCAAGUCAGACUUCCCCCAGAGGCAGAAGAUCGCCAUCCGAGCCGUGACCCACUUUGGUUCUGCGUUGAAGGAGACAAAAAGCGGCGGGGACAGAUGCAGUUAUGUCAGUGGGAGUUUUCUGCAGGCUGCAGUGUGGAAGCAAAUUGCAGACUUCGGCUAGAUCCUGCACAAAGGGUAUCCAGACCUUCAUUUCAACAGCUGUGCCAACCAAAUAAGAAAACAAAUGUGGUAACAGAGGAAGGAGUGAGCUCUCUGGUAAUUCUCUAAAGAGCACAAACGUGGUGAGACUGUGGCCUGGGCUUGGUGCUGAACCUGAAACGGCAGAAGGGCAAAGCGGCAGGGUAGCAUGGUCACACUUUUCCCCAGGGCUGGCUCUGCUCCCAAAUACGAGUUACAGGAAUCAAACAUGCAUCCACCUCCAGCAGAAAGGAGUGCCUUCAAGGCAGGUACAGGUGGCUUCAGAGCUCAGUCAUGCCCCGAGCACCAAAGAGAAGUCUAGCAGAGGCUUUUCUCCCUUCCUGCAUCACCAGUACUCCCCUUCCAGCCUUCUCUUCACCUCCUGAGAACACAGGCUCCGCUGCAGCCUUUGCCUCUUGCAAAGCAUGGUUCAGGCUCCCAUCCGCAUAUUGCGAGCUCAGUGGCUCAUCCCACUCUGCCAGCUGGAUUUUUCAGUUCUUGACUUUUCUAGAAAGUGAAAAGUUAGGUCUCUUUGGGUACUUACAUUCUUUCUUUACCUUUUCGUCUCCUUCAUAGCCUUCUAUAGGCAAACUUGUGGGGAAUGCUAAAGGAUCAGAAUAGGACUUAGUAAAUCUGAAAGUGAAUCUGCUAGAAUCCUGUAGCACAAGGACUUGGCUUUCUGCCCCCACACCGAGUGUUUCUUCAGAGCAGUUGAUGGGUUUUGUUGCCUGUAUUACCUUUCCAAAAAAAACCUAAAGAAAGUUAUUACUGUAUCAAGCUAAUUCAAUGAACCUGCAGCAGUCUCUUGGGAAAGAUUUCAGAACACUUACAUGCAGCACUUAAGAAGCCUUUCAACCAUAAGAUAAAACAAAAGAGAUAGAGACACCAUAGCGCUUCUCUUCAUUCCUCUGGGUUUAAAGAGCCACUGGUAGCAAGGCUGGCUGUGUGGAAACCAUCCCUGCCACGAGUAUUUUCACAAGAAGAAACAAAACCAAAGCACAGAUUAAUUCCUGGAGACGCUGCUGACACUGCUGCCUUUCUCAGAGAAAGAAAGGUGGCAUUCACUGGAGCCAGGCCAUUGCUUUCUGUACGCACCGCGAACCGGGAUAGUGACAGGGCAUCAGUAUGUUUAUUGUGAUCUGCUUUAUC